RNAcentral lists this ribosomal RNA (475 nucleotides) under Sibinia potentillae. RNAcentral's name for it is "partial 16S ribosomal RNA". It matches the Rfam family "Bacterial large subunit ribosomal RNA", at positions 1832 to 2566 of the family's 2925-position model. Lineage: Eukaryota; Metazoa; Arthropoda; Insecta; Coleoptera; Curculionidae. The record is from RNAcentral.
CUUUUGAUUAUAAUUUAAGGUCUGACCUGCCCAAUGAGAAUAUUAAAUGGCCGCGGUAUAUUGACCGUGCAAVGGUAGCAUAAUCAUUAGUUUUUUAAUUGGAAGCUUGUAUGAAAGGUUGAAUGAAAVMAUAACUGUCUCUAUUUUAAUUUAUUNGAAUUUUAUUUUUAAGUAAAAAAGCUUAAAUAUUUAUAAAAGACGAGAAGACCCUAUAGAGUUUUAUAUAAAUUUGAAUUAAAUUUUUUAGAAUUUAAAUUUUUAUUAUUAAAUUAUAUUUAAUUGGGGUGAUUUAAAAAUUAAAAGAACUUUUUUUUAAUAUAUUCAUAGAUAAAUGUUUAAUUGAUCCUUUNNUUUAAGAUUAAAAGAAAAAAUUACCUUAGGGAUAACAGCGUAAUUUUUUUUAAGAGUUCAAAUCGAANAAAAVGAUUGCGACCUCGAUGUUGGAUUAAAAUUYCUUUUUGGUGUAGAAGCUAAA